Molecule: ribosomal RNA, 1429 nt
Filed under: uncultured organism
Description: SSU rRNA
Rfam family: Bacterial small subunit ribosomal RNA
Source: RNAcentral
GAACGCUGGCGGCGUGCCUAACACAUGCAAGUCGAGCGAGUGAAUCUCCCUCGGGAGUGAAGCUAGCGGCGGACGGGUGAGUAACACGUGGGCAACCUGCCUCAUAGAGGGGAAUAGCCUUCCGAAAGGAAGAUUAAUACCGCAUAAGAUUGUAGCUUCGCAUGAAGUAGCAAUUAAAGGAGCAAUCCGCUAUGAGAUGGGCCCGCGGCGCAUUAGCUAGUUGGUGAGGUAACGGCUCACCAAGGCGACGAUGCGUAGCCGACCUGAGAGGGUGAUCGGCCACAUUGGGACUGAGACACGGCCCAGACUCCUACGGGAGGCAGCAGUGGGGAAUAUUGCACAAUGGGGGAAACCCUGAUGCAGCAACGCCGCGUGAGUGAUGACGGCCUUCGGGUUGUAAAGCUCUGUCUUCAGGGACGAUAAUGACGGUACCUGAGGAGGAAGCCACGGCUAACUACGUGCCAGCAGCCGCGGUAAUACGUAGGUGGCGAGCGUUGUCCGGAUUUACUGGGCGUAAAGGGAGCGUAGGCGGACUUUUAAGUGAGAUGUGUAAUACCCGGGCUCAACUUGGGUGCUGCAUUUCAAACUGGAAGUCUAGAGUGCAAGAGAGGAGAAUGGAAUUCCUAGUGUAGCGGUGAAAUGCGUAUAGAUUAGGAAGAACACCAGUGGCGAAGGGCGUUUCUCUGGACUGCUACUGACGCUGACGCUCGAAAGUGUGGGGAGCAAACAGGAUUAGAUACCCUGGUAGUUCACGCCAUAAACGAUGAAUACUAGGUGUAGGGGUUGUCAUGACCUCUGUGCUGCCGCUAACGCAUUAAGUAUUCCGCAUGGGGAGUACGGUCGCAAGAUUAAAACUCAAAGGAAUUGACGGGGGCCCGCACAAGCAGCGGAGCAUGUGGUUUAAUUCGAAGCAACGCGAAGAACCUUACCUAGACUUGACAUCUCCUGCAUUACCCUUAAUCGGGGAAGUUCCUUCGGGAACAGGAAGACAGGUGGUGCAUGGUUGUCGUCAGCUCGUGUCGUGAGAUGUUGGGUUAAGUCCCGCAACGAGCGCAACCCUUAUUGUUAGUUGCUACCAUUUAGUUGAGCACUCUAGCGAGACUGCCCGGGUUAACCGGGAGGAAGGUGGGGAUGACGUCAAAUCAUCAUGCCCCUUAUGUCUAGGGCUACACACGUGCUACAAUGGCAAGUACAAAGAGAAGCAAGACCGUGAGGUGGAGCAAAACUCAAAAACUUGUCUCAGUUCGGAUUGUAGGCUGAAACUCGCCUACAUGAAGCUGGAGUUGCUAGUAAUCGCGAAUCAGCAUGUCGCGGUGAAUACGUUCCCGGGCCUUGUACACACCGCCCGUCACACCAUGAGAGUUGGCAAUACCCAAAGUGCGUGAUCUGACUCGCAAGAGAGGAAGCGCCCUAAGGUAGGGUCAGCGAU